RNAcentral lists this ribosomal RNA (460 nucleotides) under Acinetobacter sp. oral taxon C51. Its description in RNAcentral is "bacterial SSU rRNA". It matches the Rfam family "Bacterial small subunit ribosomal RNA", at positions 30 to 482 of the family's 1533-position model. Lineage: Bacteria; Pseudomonadati; Pseudomonadota; Gammaproteobacteria; Moraxellales; Moraxellaceae. The record is from RNAcentral.
AUUGAACGCUGGCGGCAGGCUUAACACAUGCAAGUCGAGCGGAGCGAGGGUGCUUGCACCUUAGCUUAGCGGCGGACGGGUGAGUAAUGCUUAGGAAUCUGCCUAUUAGUGGGGGACAACAUUCCGAAAGGGAUGCUAAUACCGCAUACGCCCUACGGGGGAAAGCAGGGGAUCUUCGGACCUUGCGCUAAUAGAUGAGCCUAAGUCGGAUUAGCUAGUUGGUGGGGUAAAGGCCUACCAAGGCGACGAUCUGUAGCGGGUCUGAGAGGAUGAUCCGCCACACUGGGACUGAGACACGGCCCAGACUCCUACGGGAGGCAGCAGUGGGGAAUAUUGGACAAUGGGGGGAACCCUGAUCCAGCCAUGCCGCGUGUGUGAAGAAGGCCUUUUGGUUGUAAAGCACUUUAAGCGAGGAGGAGGCGCUCUAGGAUAAUACCCUAGAUGCGUGGACGUAAUUCGC